CCUACGAGUGGCAGCAGUGAGGAAUAUUGGUCAAUGGGCGCGAGCCUGAACCAGCCAAGUAGCGUGAAGGAUGACUGCCCUACGGGUUGUAAACUUCUUUUAUAAAGGAAUAAAGUGAGGCACGUAUGCCUUUUUGUAUGUACUUUAUGCAUAAGGAUCGGCUAACUCCAUGCCAGCAGCCGCGGUAAUACGGAGGAUCCGAGCUUUAUCCGGAUUUAUUGGGUUUAAAGGGAGCGUAGAUGGGUUGUUAAGUCAGGUGUGAAAGUUUGCGGCUCAACCGUAAAAUUGCAAUUGAUACUGGCAGUCUUGAGUACAGGUGAGGUAGGCGGAAUUCGUGGUGGAGCGGUGAAAUGCUUAGAUAUCACGAAGAACUCCGAUUGCGAAGGCAGCUUACUAAACUGCCACUGACAUUGAUGCUCGAAAGUGUGGGUAUCAAACAGGAUUAGAUACCCGGGUAGUC
Molecule: ribosomal RNA, 460 nt
Filed under: uncultured bacterium
Lineage: Bacteria
Description: partial 16S ribosomal RNA
Rfam family: Bacterial small subunit ribosomal RNA
Source: RNAcentral